AAGGCAAAGCCUUCUCGCCAUGGCCUGGGCUCUGUUUUCCCUUGCACUUCUGAAUUACUGUUUAGGGGUCAGUUCUCAGAGUGUGACUCAGCCUGCCUCUGCGUCUGCGUCCCUGGGCCAGACCGUGAAACUCUCCUGCACAAAAAGCGGUGGCGGCAGCUGGUACGACUGUAGUUGGUACCAGCAGAAACCUGGUCAAGCCCCUCGCUUCGUGUGGUACAGCAGCAGCACCAGGGGAGACGGGAUCCCGGAUCGGUUCUCCGGCUCCACCUCUGGGGACAAUGGGCAUUUAACUAUCACCAACGUCCAAGCUGAAGACGAGGCAGAUUAUUACUGUGCCAGGUGGCAUUACACUGGUAGCAAGUAUCACAGUGGUACUGUCUAA
Hemicordylus capensis (graceful crag lizard) is the source of this 385-nucleotide non-coding RNA. The record is from the annotation of a RefSeq genome assembly. NCBI's taxonomy places the organism in Eukaryota, Metazoa, Chordata, Lepidosauria, Squamata, Cordylidae.